Molecule: transfer RNA, 98 nt
Filed under: Planctomycetota bacterium
Lineage: Bacteria; Pseudomonadati; Planctomycetota
Also listed under: 1 other name
Description: Planctomycetes bacterium tRNA-Sec
Rfam family: Selenocysteine transfer RNA
Source: RNAcentral
GGGAGUGGAGAGGUACCUGGUGGGCCUCCUGGACUUCAAAUCCAGUGCGGUGCGUAAACAGCGCUCCGGGUGGGUUCGAUUCCCAUGCACUCCCGCCA